This is a long non-coding RNA of Neofelis nebulosa (Clouded leopard), 4016 nucleotides long. RefSeq lists it as uncharacterized. Lineage: Eukaryota; Metazoa; Chordata; Mammalia; Carnivora; Felidae. The record is from RefSeq and is a predicted model, not a curated record. The transcript is spliced from 4 exons.
UAGGCCAGAGUCAACGUGAAAGAAAUGAGAUGAUUGUGGAACGUUCCUGAUCGCAGAGCAGCCCAUGUGUCUUUGAAGAAAGAGCCGCUUCUUUCCCCUCACCGUGUGACGUCAGAGGAAAGGCCACGCCUCGCUGGACAGCAAGCAAUGACAAGUUCUGACGAUGUGGGCCCGUGAGCGCGGGGGUCUGCCCCGACUGGUUCCAGAGUGCAGAUGGAAUGGGUGUGUGCCCCAUCGGCGUCCGCUGGGUUUCACGGUGGCCUGGUGUGUGAGCGUGUCGCCCUCACCUUCAUGCUUCCUCAUUAUCAGAAACAGAACCAAUGGAUCAGAACUCCCGAGUCUCUGUCAAGUCCCAUGGCUUCACUCUGAGUUUGGAGGCAGGGCCCGGACCCCGGUGGAUGGAAUCGUUGUCUCUACACCCAUCACUCUGCCUUCUGUCCUCACCCUUGCCACGGCCUCGCUGUGGGUGGAGUGUAACCCCUUGACCCUGGGUUCUGCCAUGUGACAUCCUUGGGCCAGUGACACAUGGAUGGAAGUGAGGGGUUGCCAGUCCCAAGCUCAAGUCUCGAGAGCCCUUGGAUUUUCUGCUUUUUCCCUGUGUGUCAGAGAAGACCUUCUAGGUCUCUGGGCCCUGAGGUUUAUACUUGGGGGGCAGAGAUGAGCCAAGCCUCAGCGAGCGCCAAGAUAAGCUACGCCCAAAGCUUGAGACGGGGCCUGAACCAACCAGCGUCCGGCUGACGUGCAGACCCACAGACCUGCAGGUGCAUGGGUGACACGAGUGACGACUACUAAGAUUUGGGGUGGUUUAUUGUAUAGCAUGACUGCAGCAACCGUUAACCGAUACACUUAUCUCCUAAUGGAAAGCCACAGUAUGUUGACCUUGGACACCAGUCAUGGCUGGGACACAGGAAGCACCCAAGCGGAGAGGCCACUCUUGCUCUGACUUGAGGGCUGGGAUCUGCAUGAAGGAGAAAGUGUGUGACUCAAUUAAGAUACAAUUAAGAUCCUCCUCCAUGGUCUCCCUUUUAUCUACUGUCCUCAUUAUCCUGCUUCCUUUUCUUCUCACCGUGGGACUGGUGCUGUUGUUGCAUGCUGAUGAGUUUGUCUGUGGCCCAACUUCUGAACUAGAGAUAUCUGGCUCUGAGAAAAAAGAAAACAGCCCCCAUGUUGUGAGCUAUGCUAUGGAGAGGCCCACGUGGGGAAGAGGCUGGUGAGGAAUUCUGAGUCAGAGGCACCAAGGGGCACCCAGCUAAGGUGUGCCAGAUUCCUGACCAAUAGGCAUGCCACAGAUCACGAAGAAGUGUAAGUGGUGCAGUCUGAGGCCUGCCAGCAGCCAUCGAUGUCAAGGAGCCAGCUUGGAAACAGACCAUUCCGCCCCAGUCAGGCCUUCGACUGCUUGCAACCCCGGCUGACAUCUUGACUGCAAAAUCAUGAGCAACUUGGAGCCAGAAGCACCGAUUCAAGCUUCCUCUGAAUUCCUGACCAGCAGAAAUUGUGAGCUGCCUGAAAAUGAUCCGUGAAACUGUCUGAAGAGACUCUUCCGUCAUCACUGCAAGGCAGGGCUCGGGCUACGUACGGCUGAGCAGGCACGUGUUCUCAAAUAAGAAAGGUUAUGUAGGAAAGAGAGAGGACAGAUCAAAGAUCGGGACAGUGACUUGGUCAAGUCAUGAAAUCCUUCCGAGCCUCAGUGUUCUCAUCUGGAAAAUGGGAAUAAGAACACACACAUUUGUUGCACAGAGUUAUUUUAAGGCUUAAACAAGGUGGAGGUCUCGAUCGGGUAAGCUCAGAGUUAAUCGCUUGAAGACCUUGGUCUUACGAUCUUUCCCAAGGCCUAGGUUGAUUUUAUUUUCUUCAUCUCUAAGGGGAGGAAAUGCACACCUAGGGAGGUUCAUAAAAUUGCCAGGCCUGGGUUUAUGACAGGCAGAGCAGGGGUGGGGGCACCUGGGAGCUCUGGCUGCUUUGGGGUGGUCCCCACGCAGCAUCUUGGUGGUUCCAUUUCUGUUAAGGAGGAAGACGCGUGGGUGUGGGUUUCUCCUCUCUGCAUCUCAAAGUCAUUCUUCCUUUAUGGCAACACAUAAUAGGCGUUUGCUGAAUUGAUUUGAUGAGACUCUAAACAGAGCAACACAAAAUAAAAUGGCCUUGGGAAAAGACGAUAGUGAAGUGACCAAGUUUUCGAUGAAGACCAAGCAAAUAGAUAGGUUUCAUAAGAAGUCCAUGCAUCACCGAGAGCAGAACUGCCUCAGUCAUAAGUAUACGGGAGUCAAGGCUCCUAGAGUUGGAAGGUCUUUACAGAUUCUCUUUCUUCAACUCUCGUCUCACAGAUAAGGAAAAUAAGAGGAAGGGAUUUGGCCAGAGUGACCCAGAAGACGAAAGGUGUUGCCAGGUCCUUCCUAAUCGCUAUAUUUCCAGUAAACCCAGGACCAUAAGUGCAUCAAAAAAGUGGCCAAAGUUCCAGACCCGUAUUUGCAGUUCUUAAUCCAGAAUACCAAGCUAUGGUGGGUUCAUCAAGGCUCAGUCGGAGCCCCUUAUCCGACCAGAUCCCAGAGGCCGGCAGGGCGGAAUGUUGAGACCUCUUAGGCACUAGAAAUAUAUCACAAGGCUGACCAUGACCCAGAAAGGCCCCCCAAAGAUGCAACAUGGAACCUGGAUGGGACGUAAGAUGAUGGUGUCCAGGUAGAGGAUGGAUGAAUAGUUGUUGUUGUGUUGUGUUGUGUUGGCAGGAGGCUGAAUGGGAGAAAUAGGGGGAGACAGGAAGGUGUCAGAAAAGUGGCACAGGGUGGGUAAGAACAAGAAAGUUCCUGCACGAACUGAGGCAGGUGGGAGAAAGAACGCCAGGGCCAAACUUCUAGAACUGGAGUGUAACACAUCAGCCUGGCUCCAAAAAGACAAAAACAAAGAAGAACAAAACAAAAAAAUCCAAAGGGAUGCCCAGGCACAAGGAAUGGAUGUAAAAGCAGCGCAAGUCUAGUGUGGACGGAACGGGACAGCUGGCCUGGCGCCCCAUUAACUAUCUUAGGAUCCAGAAAGAGGAUUGUCUAGGGGUGGUAGUCGUAGUUCCAAUUAUGUUGGAAAGGCUACGGGGGGGAGAAGGCAGACGGGUCCCGUUCUGUAAACUGUACCCAGAACCCACUUCACCCAGAGGGAAAGGAAAGGAAACCAGAGGCAGAGGAGUUGAGGCGUAAAGGUUUCUAAAGCAUUUAUUUCCAAGACACACUUUAAAAAAAAAAGUUGAGAACAAGUGGCAAUAAGAUCUAAGGGCUGGGGCCCUUUUUUACUGAGCUGACAUUUCUCAGUCCUACAGUGGACAACAAGGAAGGGAGGGCAGAGCUCUCUCCACAGAGCCCUGGGUCGUAUCUGGAGGAAAACCAAAGCCUCGAGGUCUCCUCCCACUUCUGGUCUUCAGCAUAUUUUUGGAAAUAUAUGGUACGGUUAACGUCCCAUUCUCAUAAAGAUUUGAGCCUUGAAAUCUCUGGCUUUAUUCACAGCUGGACCUGGGCCUAUUGACCAUUGCUUAAGUGAUUCCAUGCCUGGGGGAGCCUAAGUUGGGGCUUUCAUGUUCAAAGGACACGGUCCAUUGAAGACUCGGAAUAUGGACUUGCUCUGAUGUUCUUAGUCUUUGGUUCUCAUAGCCAAAAUAAGGCUGAUUUCAAAAAGGUGACUGUUAUUAUCUUCCUCUGUUCCCCCACUUUCCAUAUUAUCAACUGUUUGAGGGCAGAGGAGGAUAAUGCUACAUAGGAGCGGAGGAGUGGCCGUGCCGGCAGAGUUUAACUUGGGCUCUCAGUGUUUCUUUCCAGUCGGCAAACAUCUCCACGACACCCUUCUGUUAUGAAAAGCACACCAUGUCAGAUGAGCCUUUCAGCUGCACUUUGACGGUUGGACUUGAGACAAAAGAAGAAAGAUUUUGAAAUCUGUAUUCAGCCAGCAUUGUCUGAAAUUCCAAAUCGGCACAAAUUUAAAGGAGGGUCCCCAUUCUUUCCUUUCAUUGGGAGCAUAAUGGGAAUGUUAAGCGUUGUCCC